UGAUGAAGCUGAUCCAGAUCAACCUCCACCACUCUAAACUCGCGUCUGCGAACCUUGAGGUCCGCCUGGCUGCCGGUGGACUCGACGUUGCCCUCAUCCAGGAACCGUGGAUACACGGCAAUAAAAUCUGCGGACUUGGGAUGAAGGGCUUUAAGCUUAUUGCCGCACAAAAUGCAGCUUAGUGACGGCGAUCUGGUAGUGGCAAGCAUUGAGCUGGACAAAACCAGCUUUUGGGUAGCCUCUGCCUACAUGGCCCAUGACAAGGA
Molecule: long non-coding RNA, 266 nt
Organism: Rhagoletis pomonella (apple maggot)
Lineage: Eukaryota; Metazoa; Arthropoda; Insecta; Diptera; Tephritidae
Exons: 2
Source: RefSeq, a predicted model, not a curated record